This 442-nucleotide ribosomal RNA is filed under the name uncultured bacterium. RNAcentral describes it as "bacterial SSU rRNA". It matches the Rfam family "Bacterial small subunit ribosomal RNA", at positions 29 to 521 of the family's 1533-position model. The record is from RNAcentral.
AACGAACGCUGGCGGCAGGCUUAACACAUGCAAGUCGAGCGCCCCUUCGGGGGAGCGGCAGACGGGUGAGUAACGCGUGGGAAUCUACCCAGCUCUGCGGAAUAACCUGAGGAAACUUGGACUAAUACCGCAUACGCCCUUCGGGGGAAAGAUUUAUCGGAGUUGGAUGAGCCCGCGUUUGAUUAGCUAGUUGGUGGGGUAAAGGCCUACCAAGGCGACGAUCAAUAGCUGGUCUGAGAGGAUGAUCAGCCACAUUGGGACUGAGACACGGCCCAAACUCCUACGGGAGGCAGCAGUGGGGAAUAUUGGACAAUGGGCGCAAGCCUGAUCCAGCCAUGCCGCGUGAGUGAUGAAGGCCCUAGGGUUGUAAGCUCUUUCAACGGUGAAGAUAAUGACGGUAGCCGUAGAAGAAGCCCGGCUAACUUCGUGCCAGCGCCGCGGU